UUAUUACCUCUUAUUGCCAAAGUGAUUGAAGAAUUAUUUUUUGUUUGUUUGCCCGAUGAAGGACACUGAGUGGUUUCUGUUGUGACAGGCUAACACGAUCCUAUCCCUCAGAAUAUCAACAUAUAGGUAAAGCAGACAAUGAAAAAAAUUGCAUAUCUUGAUACAACAAAAAUUUAACUUACAGGAUAUGACGAAAUUGGGGGAG
RNAcentral lists this unclassified non-coding RNA (205 nucleotides) under Hevea brasiliensis (rubber tree). The record is from RNAcentral. Lineage: Eukaryota; Viridiplantae; Streptophyta; Magnoliopsida; Malpighiales; Euphorbiaceae.